The sequence is a small nuclear RNA, 117 nucleotides long. Its record names the gene U4. It matches the Rfam family "U4 spliceosomal RNA". Rfam says of the family: U4 small nuclear RNA (U4 snRNA) is a component of the major U2-dependent spliceosome. The structure of U4 snRNA from yeast and human has been reported. The record is from Ensembl.
AGCUUUGCACAGUGGCAGUAUCAUAGCCAAUGAAGUUUAUCUGAGGCAUAGUAACUGUAAAUUCAAAAGUAUCUUUAAAUGCACAGAUGAACUAAGUGAGGGAAGUCCCCAGAUAGA